Molecule: ribosomal RNA, 255 nt
Filed under: uncultured bacterium
Lineage: Bacteria
Description: partial 16S ribosomal RNA
Rfam family: Bacterial small subunit ribosomal RNA
Source: RNAcentral
GACGUAGGGUGCGAGCGUUGUCCGGAUUUAUUGGGCGUAAAGAGCUCGUAGGCGGUGUGUCGCGUCGGCCGUGAAAACCUGCAGCUUAACUGUGGGCUUGCGGUCGAUACGGGCAUCACUGGAGUUCGGCAGGGGAGACUGGAAUUCUCGGUGUAGCGGUGAAAUGCGUAGAUAUCGAGAGGAACACCUGCGGCGAAGGCGGGUUGCUGGGCUGACACUGACGCUGAUUGUGCGAAAGCUAGGGGAGCGAACGGG